CCUACGGGAGGCAGCAGUGGGGAAUAUUGCACAAUGGGGGAAACCCUGAUGCAGCGACGCCGCGUGAGUGAAGAAGUAUCUCGGUAUGUAAAGCUCUAUCAGCAGGGAAGAAGAAAGACGGUACCUGACUAAGAAGCCCCGGCUAACUACGUGCCAGCAGCCGCGGUAAUACGGAGGGGGCAGGCGUUAUCCGGAUUUACUGGGUGUAAAGGGAGGGUAGACGGCUGUGCAAGUCUGAAGUGAAAGCCCAGGGCUCAACCCUGGGACUGCUGUGGAAACUGUGGAGCUAGAGUGCUGGAGAGGUAAGUGGAAUGCGUAGUGUAGCGGUGAAAUGCGUAGAUAUUAGGAAGAACACCAGUGGCGAAGGCGGCUUACUGGACAGUAACUGACGUUGAGGCUCGAAAGCGUGGGGAGCGAACAGGAUUAGAUACCCGAGUAGUC
RNAcentral lists this ribosomal RNA (441 nucleotides) under uncultured bacterium. Its description in RNAcentral is "partial 16S ribosomal RNA". It matches the Rfam family "Bacterial small subunit ribosomal RNA", at positions 338 to 795 of the family's 1533-position model. The record is from RNAcentral.